GGGGAUUUAGCUUAGUGGUAGAGCGUUUGCCUAGGAAGCAUAAGGCCCUUCCCAAACCCCCA
RNAcentral lists this transfer RNA (62 nucleotides) under Rattus norvegicus (Norway rat). It matches the Rfam family "tRNA". Rfam says of the family: Transfer RNA (tRNA) molecules are approximately 80 nucleotides in length. Their secondary structure includes four short double-helical elements and three loops (D, anti-codon, and T loops). Further hydrogen bonds mediate the characteristic L-shaped molecular structure. tRNAs have two regions of fundamental functional importance: the anti-codon, which is responsible for specific mRNA codon recognition, and the 3' end, to which the tRNAs corresponding amino acid is attached (by aminoacyl-tRNA synthetases). tRNAs cope with the degeneracy of the genetic code in two manners: having more than one tRNA (with a specific anti-codon) for a particular amino acid; and 'wobble' base-pairing, i.e. permitting non-standard base-pairing at the 3rd anti-codon position. The record is from Rfam by way of RNAcentral. Lineage: Eukaryota; Metazoa; Chordata; Mammalia; Rodentia; Muridae.